Rhinolophus ferrumequinum (greater horseshoe bat) is the source of this 420-nucleotide long non-coding RNA. RefSeq lists it as uncharacterized. Lineage: Eukaryota; Metazoa; Chordata; Mammalia; Chiroptera; Rhinolophidae. The record is from RefSeq and is a predicted model, not a curated record. The transcript has 3 exons.
AGCCAGCUUUGAAAUUUUAAUGCAGUGCCUUUGUGAACUAACAGCAAACAGAGAGGCUGAGAUGGGGAUGCAGACAACAGACCCUGCUCUGGUCAAAUUAGAAGGGCAAGCUCUUUGCUCCUAGAGGGAAAAUACAAUCGUUUGGUGCUAGGAGGUCUGAAUUCCUUGGAAGGCAUUGCUUGAAGUCUCCUGCUGGCCUUGGAGAAGGAAGCUGCCACGUUGUGAGAGGGCCUGAAAGGGGCCACAUGAAAGGAACUGCAGGGCAGCAUCCAGGUGAUAGCAAGAAAGUGGGACCCUCAGUCCUACAGCUACAAAGAACUAAGUUCUGCCCACACCUUGUGAGCUUGGAAGAGGAUCUGAGAUCCAGAAAGAAAUGCAGCCCACCGACUCCCUGAUGGCAGCCUUGUGAGACCCUGAGCA